UUCGCCUACGGGAGGCAGCAGCCGCGGUAAUACGUAGGGGGCAAGCGUUAUCCGGAUUUACUGGGUGUAAAGGGAGCGCAGACGGCAGUGCAAGUCUGGAGUGAAAGCCCGGGGCCCAACCCCGGAACUGCUCUGGAAACUGUGCGGCUAGAGUACUGGAGGGGCAGGCGGAAUUCCUAGUGUAGCGGCGAAAUGCGUAGAUAUUAGGAGGAACACCAGUGGCGAAGGCGGCCUGCUGGACAGUAACUGACGUUGAGGCUCGAAAGCGUGGGGAGCAAACAGGAUUAGAAACCCCAG
Molecule: ribosomal RNA, 297 nt
Filed under: uncultured bacterium
Lineage: Bacteria
Description: partial 16S ribosomal RNA
Rfam family: Bacterial small subunit ribosomal RNA
Source: RNAcentral